ACUGUUCUUUUUUUUUUUUCUUUUUAGAAACCCUUAGAUCAUUGACCAGUGAAACAACAUUUGCAACUCCAGUGCUAUCAAAUAAAUCGUCAUAUGUAUGAAAAAGGCAAUGUAACAAAAAUCAUACCUUUAAAAUUAAAAAAAAAACUCUUGUACAAUUGCUCUGGUAAUUGAUUGAGGCAGCCACAAAAUAAAGGGAAUAGCGACAAACCAAGUUAAAAUGGAACUAAAAGGCUUUGGAAUCUGCAUUUAACAAUUCACGACACUACCUGAUUACAUAUACAUAAUAGGUGCUUAUGCUUGACGAAAGUGCGGAUAAAAUAAAAACAAGGUUGCAACAAUGGUAUUGACAGAGUCACGGAAAAUAAGGUUGCAGCAAAAUACCUAGGCAUGGUGGCGAGGUGUCACGGUGGCACGCUGUCACAUUGGCCUGAAAUGGGUUUACAAAAUUAAAUAUAAUGAGUAUGGAACAAUCCAAAAACACAAACCACGACUUGUCGCUAAAGGCUAUUCACAACUAUCAGGAGUUGAUUUCAAUGAGACAUUUGCUCCCGUUGUGCGCAUGGAAACAAUCAGAACUGUACCGGCCUUAGCUGCAUAGUUGAAGCUACAAGUCUACCAGCUAGAUGUAAAAUCAGCUUGAAAAAGGCGCUUUAUGGUCUCAAACAAACUCCCCGAGCAUGGAACAGAAAAAUAAACAAAUACCUCGUCGAGCAUAGAUUCCUCAAAAGUCCAAGUGAGCCGUCACUAUAUGUGAAGAUGCAAGGUAAUUAUUUCUCUAUUUUGUGCCUAUACGUGGAUGAUUUAAUCUACACCGGCAACAACUCACAAAUGAUGGAAGAAUUUAAAAAGGCUAUGAUGCAAGAGUAUGAAAUGACCGAUCUUGGAUUCAUGAGAUAUUUUCUCGGCAUGCAAGUCAAGCAAAGACCUGGACAAAUAUUUAUCUUGCAGGAAAAAUAUGCAAAUGACUUACUAAAGAAGUUCAACAUGCAAGAUUGCAAACCACUUGCCACACCUAUGGUGAUGAACAAGAAGCUUUCAAAAGAU
This 1047-nucleotide long non-coding RNA is filed under the name Glycine max (soybean). Its description in RNAcentral is "long non-coding RNA (GMAX_LNC002151)". Lineage: Eukaryota; Viridiplantae; Streptophyta; Magnoliopsida; Fabales; Fabaceae. The record is from RNAcentral.